Molecule: unclassified non-coding RNA, 149 nt
Filed under: soil metagenome
Description: partial internal transcribed spacer 1
Source: RNAcentral
ACGAGUUAGGGCCUCUGGCCCGAACCUCCAACCCCUUUGUAUCAAAACCUCGUUGCCUCGGGGAGGCCCUGCCUCACGGCUGGCCCCCGAUGGACCACUAAACUCUUGCAUCUGUAUGACGUCCUGAGUAAAGAUUUUAAAUUAAAUCA